This 394-nucleotide ribosomal RNA is filed under the name Drepana curvatula. RNAcentral's name for it is "partial 28S ribosomal RNA". Lineage: Eukaryota; Metazoa; Arthropoda; Insecta; Lepidoptera; Drepanidae. The record is from RNAcentral.
CCGUUCAGGGGUAAACCUGCGAAACUCGAAUGAGUGAACGGGGAGAUUCAUCGCUAGCUCGCGGCGUGAGAACGUGGUUUGAUGCCGCCUUAUUGGAAGCACGGACUGCGCCUCUUGACGUCCGCGAGGGGCGUGUACUUCUCCUUUAGUAAAACAUCGCCACUCGUUUAAGGUACGUCCAAGCGUCGCUAAACAAGAUUUUUUUGUUUUGCCACAUUGAGUUUUGUUUCAGCAGCGCAGGCGUGCCUUUAGACGGUCCGAGAUCGCGCACGCGUAUGAAACGCGCCCGGCUAAUGCGAGGUGACCUCGUACUCGCGAGAGUGCGUUAUCCCUGUGCUGAGUAGCUUCGGGCUGUGCGAGACUUGAUGCGAUGAUUAAGCUUCGGGCACUCGCA